AGCGAACGCUGGCGGCAGGCUUAACACAUGCAAGUCGAACGGGCGUAGCAAUACGUCAGUGGCAGACGGGUGAGUAACGCGUGGGAACGUACCUUUUGGUUCGGAACAACUGAGGGAAACUUCAGCUAAUACCGAAUAAGCCCUUACGGGGAAAGAUUUAUCGCCGAAAGAUCGGCCCGCGUCUGAUUAGCUUGUUGGUGAGGUAACGGCUCACCAAGGCGACGAUCAGUAGCUGGUCUGAGAGGAUGAUCAGCCACAUUGGGACUGAGACACGGCCCAAACUCCUACGGGAGGCAGCAGUGGGGAAUAUUGGACAAUGGGCGAAAGCCUGAUCCAGCCAUGCCGCGUGAGUGAUGAAGGCCCUAGGGUUGUAAAGCUCUUUUGUGCGGGAAGAUAAUGACGGUACCG
RNAcentral lists this ribosomal RNA (408 nucleotides) under uncultured bacterium. RNAcentral's name for it is "bacterial SSU rRNA". It matches the Rfam family "Bacterial small subunit ribosomal RNA", at positions 29 to 480 of the family's 1533-position model. The record is from RNAcentral.